ACGAACGUUGGCGGCGUGCUUAAUACAUGCAAGUCGAGCGAGAAACGGGGGGCAACUCCCGGAGUAAAGCGGCGAAAGGGUGCGUAAUACAUGAAGAACGUACCCCCUGGACCGGGAUAACUCAGGGAAACUUGGGCUAAUACCGGGUAACAUCCCGUUGGGGCAUCUUGAUGGGACCAGAGGUGGGCGAAAGCCUUCCGCCGGGGGAGCGCUUCAUGGCCUAUCAGCUAGUUGGUGGGGUAACGGCCCACCAAGGCUAUGACGGGUAGCCGGACUCAGAGGUCGACCGGCCACAUGGGCACUGAGACACGGGCCCAACACCUACGGGUGGCAGCAGUAGGGAAUCUUGCGCAAUGGGCGAAAGCCUGACGCAGCGACGCCACGUGGGGGAUGAAGGCCUUCGGGUUGUAAACCCCUUUCAUGAGGGAAGAACACUGACUUAACCUCAGGAAGAAGCACCGGCUAACUCCGU
Molecule: ribosomal RNA, 472 nt
Filed under: uncultured bacterium
Lineage: Bacteria
Description: bacterial SSU rRNA
Rfam family: Bacterial small subunit ribosomal RNA
Source: RNAcentral